Molecule: ribosomal RNA, 460 nt
Filed under: uncultured bacterium
Lineage: Bacteria
Description: partial 16S ribosomal RNA
Rfam family: Bacterial small subunit ribosomal RNA
Source: RNAcentral
CCUACGGGGGGCAGCAGUGAGGAAUAUUGGUCAAUGGACGCAAGUCUGAACCAGCCAUGCCGCGUGCAGGAAGACGGCUCUAUGAGUUGUAAACUGCUUUUGUACGAGGGUAAACGCAGAUACGCGUAUCUGUCUGAAAGUAUCGUACGAAUAAGGAUCGGCUAACUCCGUGCCAGCAGCCGCGGUAAUACGGAGGAUUCAAGCGUUAUCCGGAUUUAUUGGGUUUAACGGGUGCGUAGGCGGUCGGAUAAGUUAGAGGUGAAAUCCCGAGGCUCAACUUCGGAAUUGCCUCUGAUACUGUUCGGCUAGAGAGUAGUUGCGGUAGGCGGAAUGUAUGGUGUAGCGGUGAAAUGCUUAGAGAUCAUACAGAACACCGAUUGCGAAGGCAGCUUACCAAGCUACUUCUGACGUUGAGGCACGAAAGCGUGGGGAGCAUACAGGAUUAGAUACCCGAGUAGUC